Molecule: ribosomal RNA, 1487 nt
Filed under: Sipunculus nudus (marine worm)
Lineage: Eukaryota; Metazoa; Annelida; Sipuncula; Golfingiida; Sipunculidae
Description: 16S ribosomal RNA
Rfam family: Archaeal large subunit ribosomal RNA (bases 898-1248)
Source: RNAcentral
GAUUCAGAGCUUCCUCCCCCCCCCCUCUCCACCUUCCUUCUACAACAAAAACAAUCACAUCCAACUUUCUUUAACUAAUCAACCCUAUCUAUCACACCCUUCGAAAGAAUAUCAAAAAACGAAAAAAAGAAAAGCUUGCCCCUUCGUUACCUUUUGCAUCAUGGUUAAGCAAGCCGUACUCCAAACCAUUCUAGCAAUCCGAACAUUGUGAGAGUCUAUGGCCCUCCUUUGUUUAGCACCCCCCUACUAUUGUUACACCAAUAAAGGAUAAAAGGAGCCAUUGAGGCUACAUACCAUCCGCGCACAAAGAUAGUCUGGUUUUCCAAAAAAUCUAUUUAAGUAGAGAAAAAAGAAAGUCCCUUUCUUUUCUUUCCUCUCUCGGGGGAUAAAGCUCCGAGAGUUACACCUUUAUUUAUACUCAACCCCUAUCCUGUCGGCCCUAAAGCAGCCAACAACAAUAACCGCGUUCCAGUCGUACAAUUGUUACAAACUUUAUAAUCCCCCUUUGUAGCUGGGUGAUCAUUAUAUUGGAAAUACUGGCGAGUAGCACCCAAGCCCGCAGCAUAUUCUGUUUGAAUUAUUAUUCCCAAGCCGCCCUAUCCUCUUUCGCUAUAAAAUAAACCGCCCUAACAAGUGGCCGGCUCCCCCCAACCUUCGAUAAGGAACUCGGCAAACAUUACACCUCGUCCUGUUUAUUAAAAACACCGCCUCCUGAUUCUUCCAUAGGAGGUCCAACCUGCCCAGUGAAUUCUUCUACGGCCGCGGUACCCUGACCGUGCUAAGGUAGCGUAAUCACUUGCCCUUUAAUUGGGGGCUGGUAUGAAAGGUCAAACGAGGGUGAUACUGUCUCACCCAAGCCCAUUAAAAAUUGUCCUCCAUGUGAAGAGACUUGACUACUAUAGAAAGACGAGAAGACCCUGUCAAGCUUUACACCUUAUAAUAGACCCCUAACCCCGCCAUCAUAAAAAGUGUUUUGUUGGGGCAACACGGGAACACAACUCUUCCUCACUAACCACUCUUCAAUAAAUCAAACAAUCCGGCACCGCCGAAUAAAAACCAAGCUACUGCAGGGAUAACAGGCUAAUCUGCUUCGAGAGCCCACAUUGACAAGCAGGCUUGGCACCUCGAUGUUGGCUUAGGGACCCUCGCUGGGGCAGCCCCCGGCGAAAGGAGGUUUGUUCAACCUAUAACCCCCUACAUGAGCUGAGUUUAGACCGACGUAAGUCAGGUCAGUUUCUAUCUUCUAUACCCACACCGCCGGCAUUCGUACGAAAGGAUUUUGCCGGCCGAUUGAAAUCGUCAUACCCCGCACUCCCUCCCGGAAACUAUAACCACACGGAAAAAUUAGAGUCAGGUCAGUUUCUAUCUUCUAUACCCACACCGCCGGCAUUCGUACGAAAGGAUUUUGCCGGCCGAUUGAAAUCGUCAUACCCCGUCACUCCCUCCCGGAAACUAUAACCACCUCCUCCCCCCCCCCAGGCGAUCAA